This is a long non-coding RNA of Eucalyptus grandis, 1017 nucleotides long. RefSeq lists it as uncharacterized. Lineage: Eukaryota; Viridiplantae; Streptophyta; Magnoliopsida; Myrtales; Myrtaceae. The transcript is spliced from 3 exons. The record is from RefSeq and is a predicted model, not a curated record.
UCUGAAGUUCAUCUGGGAAGUGUUCCUCAUUUGCCUUCAUUUUUUCGUAUAAUUGAUCUGCUAAUUAGGUCCUUCUUUUGCGAGAUAUGGGAAACUCGCUUAAAGACCAUCCGGCAAUGGAAGUUGGAUUAGGGCAGACGCGAGAUUUGAGGCUUUGGAAACACAGAGGCCGCUUGUUUGCUUUGCCCUGCUUCAUUGGGUCGGAGCUUGAAGCUUAGCCGGUCACUGGAGGACUCUGGAUUGGACAUUUACUAAGGAGAUACAUCAGAAAGAGUGCAAGUUCGAUAGGCCUGCAUCACUGCGGUAUGCCAAAUCAUAUCAAGCCACUAACUCUUUUACAUGGACAUGAAGUGAAAAUGAACUCCAGUGAAGAUCUGAAGCAGAGCUACGGAAACAAUGGUUGGGGUGGCCAACCAUGGUUUUCUUGACCUCUCACUGCGAUUGCUCUUUAUUUGACCACUUGAUCCUGCGGUACUGUCAGUUGAAUUCCCCUCAGCUGCAACAAAAAACAUCAGGAAGACGUGGGGAGAAUUUCUAUGGAGGACAACUUCAUUUAGUUCUUGCUGCUUAAAACUAGAUGAGUGUGAGGGUUGUUACCAUCGGGGAGUUUCGUGCUGUUUCUCUUCUCAAGGCUUUUCUCAAAUCUGUCAAACACCUCAGCGUCUGUAGAGUUCGGAGCAAGGUGCAGAAGAUCUGAAUUUUUGCACAUGUUUAGAAAUAACGGACUAAAGAGGCAAAAAUCGGACAAAUUUUACUACAAAAACUGGGCAUGCCGAGUUUGUUCCCGAGACUGUUAGGAUAAACUGAUGCAACAUCUUUCAGAAGCCACCUCUGGCUUAUUUCUGCUGAAGUUGCUUAAACAUCCAAUGCAUACUUCAUGGUGAAUGGCAAGAGGUGGGAAGGCUGAGCGCAAGGGUGGUAUUGAUCUUGAGCCCAAGACUGGGAUCAUUCCUGUCCCUGACAAGAAUGCAAAGGCAUUUCAAGCUCUUUUGGAGGACCUGUUUCAGCCCGGAGCAA